GAUGAACGCUGGCGGCGUGCCUAAUACAUGCAAGUCGAACGAGGUGCUUUUUGUAGCAAUACGAGGAGUAUCCUAGUGGCGAACGGGUGAGUAACGCGUGGGUGACCUACCCCAAAGUGUGGAAUAACAGUCCGAAAGGAUUGCUAAUGCCGCAUGUGGUCUGCGAGUUUAGAAAUCGUUGACUAAAGGAGCAAUUCGCUUUGGGAGGGACCUGCGUCCCAUCAGCUAGUUGGUGAGGUAACGGCUCACCAAGGCUACGACGGGUAGGGGACCUGAGAGGGUGGCCCCCCACAAUGGAACUGAAGCACGGUCCAUACACCUACGGGUGGCAGCAGUAGGGAAUAUUGCACAAUGGGCGAAAGCCUGAUGCAGCAACGCCGCGUGUGCGAUGAAGGCCUUGGUCGUAAAGCACUUUCUGAGAGAUGAGAAAGGACAGUAUCUCAGGAAUAAGUACUCGGCGUAACUACGUAGCCAGCAGCCG
Molecule: ribosomal RNA, 481 nt
Filed under: uncultured bacterium
Lineage: Bacteria
Description: bacterial SSU rRNA
Rfam family: Bacterial small subunit ribosomal RNA
Source: RNAcentral